AGCGAACGUUCGCGGCGUGCCUAACACAUGCAAGUCGUACGAGAAAGGGCUACGGCCCCGGUACAGUGGCGCACGGGUGAGUAACGCGUGGGUAACCUACCCAGACGUGGGGGAUAACCUGCCGAAAGGCGGGCUAAUACCGCAUGUGAUCCUUGGGUUUUGGCCUGGGGAUGAAAGCAGGCUUUUGUAGACGGGCUUGCGCGUUUGGAUGGGCCCGCGUCCCAUCAGCUAGUUGGUGAGGUAACGGCUCACCAAGGCGACGACGGGUAGCUGGUCUGAGAGGAUGGCCAGCCACACUGGAACUGAGACACGGUCCAGACUCCUACGGGAGGCAGCAUG
Molecule: ribosomal RNA, 339 nt
Filed under: uncultured bacterium
Lineage: Bacteria
Description: bacterial SSU rRNA
Rfam family: Bacterial small subunit ribosomal RNA
Source: RNAcentral